Molecule: ribosomal RNA, 503 nt
Filed under: uncultured bacterium
Lineage: Bacteria
Description: partial 16S ribosomal RNA
Rfam family: Bacterial small subunit ribosomal RNA
Source: RNAcentral
AUUGAACGCUGGCGGCAGGCUUAACACAUGCAAGUCGAGCGGGGUGAUGGUGCUUGCACUAUCACUUAGCGGCGGACGGGUGAGUAAUGCUUAGGAAUCUGCCUAUUAGUGGGGGACAACAUCUCGAAAGGGAUGCUAAUGCCGCAUACGUCCUACGGGAGAAAGCAGGGGAUCACUUGUGACCUUGCGCUAAUAGAUGAGCCUAAGUCGGAUUAGCUAGUUGGUGGGGUAAAGGCCUACCAAGGCGACGAUCUGUAGCGGGUCUGAGAGGAUGAUCCGCCACACUGGGACUGAGACACGGCCCAGACUCCUACGGGAGGCAGCAGUGGGGAAUAUUGGACAAUGGGGGGAACCCUGAUCCAGCCAUGCCGCGUGUGUGAAGAAGGCCUUAUGGUUGUAAAGCACUUUAAGUGAGGAGGAGGCUCUUUUGGUUAAUACCCAAGAUGAGUGGACGUUACUCGCAGAAUAAGCACCGGCUAACUCUGUGCCAGCAGCCGCCGUAA